This 630-nucleotide long non-coding RNA is filed under the name Mus pahari (shrew mouse). RNAcentral describes it as "lncRNA (MGP_PahariEiJ_G0012249.1)". Lineage: Eukaryota; Metazoa; Chordata; Mammalia; Rodentia; Muridae. The record is from RNAcentral.
GUUCUGGGCCAGCGUGCCCGAGACCAGGCGCGUACACGUGUGUGUGUGUGUGUGUGGUGUGUGUGUAAGAGAGAGGAGCGGAGCCUACCAUGCGCUUCCCUGGUGCGGAUCGCGGGAGAGCCCAAUCACAGGGCGAGCUGGACCUGGCUGUGAUCAUUUAUAAUCCUUGACUCCUCCGCUCCGCCACUUGUCAAGAUGACAGGAGUUAAGAAAGGCAAUAAUAGAGGAGGCAUGAACACACAAGACCUUGGGAAGAGAGGAAUGUGAGCUGUGAAAAACCAAGCAGAAGUGUUUCCAUCUUAAUGGCGCUAUGAGCCGGAGAAGUCGCAGAAAACCAAAGGACUCAAGAGGAGGCACUGCUACCAAGAACUCGUGUCCACCAUGCAUUGGUGAAAGGACAUGAAGGAGCCAUUUUACCAACCUGAACCUUUCUCCAUGGGGCACUGCACAGCUUAACCUCUGAAACUCUGUUGAGCCGUUGAGGGCUCCUAAAGUUUCUUAACAGAGUCCCUCUUUACAGUAAAAACCCUACUUCUCUCUGAGUACAGAGUCAAAGCAGUCCUACAGCACUAACAUUUCAAUUGCUGCAUAUGGAGCCCAGUAAGUAAAGGACCCCCUAAGAGCGGUUAU